GAUGAACGUUUGCGGCGUGCCUAAUACAUGCAAGUCGAGCGAACGGACGAGAAGCUUGCUUCUCUGAUGUUAGCGGCGGACGGGUGAGUAACACGUGGAUAACCUACCUAUAAGACUGGGAUAACUUCGGGAAACCGGAGCUAAUACCGGAUAAUAUUUUGAACCGCAUGGUUCAAAAGUGAAAGACGGUCUUACUGUCACUUAUAGAUGGAUCCGCGCUGCAUUAGCUAGUUGGUAAGGUAACGGCUUACCAAGGCAACGAUGCAUAGCCGACCUGAGAGGGUGAUCGGCCACACUGGAACUGAGACACGGUCCAGACUCCUACGGGAGGCAGCAGUAGGGAAUCUUCCGCAAUGGGCGAAAGCCUGACGGAGCAACGCCGCGUGAGUGAUGAAGGUCUUCGGAUCGUAAAACUCUGUUAUUAGGGAAGAACAUAUGUGUAAGUAACUGUGCACAUCUUGACGGUACCUAAUCAGAAAGCCACGGCUAACUACGUGCCAGCAGCCGCGGUAAUACGUAGGUGGCAAGCGUUAUCCGGAAUUAUUGGGCGUAAAGCGCGCGUAGGCGGUUUUUUAAGUCUGAUGUGAAAGCCCACGGCUCAACCGUGGAGGGUCAUUGGAAACUGGAAAACUUGAGUGCAGAAGAGGAAAGUGGAAUUCCAUGUGUAGCGGUGAAAUGCGCAGAGAUAUGGAGGAACACCAGUGGCGAAGGCGACUUUCUGGUCUGUAACUGACGCUGAUGUGCGAAAGCGUGGGGAUCAAACAGGAUUAGAUACCCUGGUAGUCCACGCCGUAAACGAUGAGUGCUAGGUGUUAGGGGGUUUCCGCCCCUUAGUGCUGCAGCUAACGCAUUAAGCACUCCGCCUGGGGAGUACGACCGCAAGGUUGAAACUCAAAGGAAUUGACGGGGACCCGCACAAGCGGUGGAGCAUGUGGUUUAAUUCGAAGCAACGCGAAGAACCUUACCAAAUCUUGACAUCCUUUGACAACUCUAGAGAUAGAGCUUUCCCCUUCGGGGGACAAAGUGACAGGUGGUGCAUGGUUGUCGUCAGCUCGUGCCGUGAGAUGUUGGGUUAAGUCCCGCAACGAGCGCAACCCUUAAGCUUAGUUGCCAUCAUUAAGUUGGGCACUCUAAGUUGACUGCCGGUGACAAACCGGAGGAAGGUGGGGAUGACGUCGAAUCAUCAUGCCCCUUAUGAUUUGGGCUACACACGUGCUACAAUGGACAAUACAAAGGGCAGCGAAACCGCGAGGUCAAGCAAAUCCCAUAAAGUUGUUCUCAGUUCGGAUUGUAGUCUGCAACUCGACUACAUGAAGCUGGAAUCGCUAGUAAUCGUAGAUCAGCAUGCUACGGUGAAUACGUUCCCGGGUCU
RNAcentral lists this ribosomal RNA (1372 nucleotides) under uncultured bacterium. RNAcentral describes it as "bacterial SSU rRNA". It matches the Rfam family "Bacterial small subunit ribosomal RNA", at positions 28 to 1381 of the family's 1533-position model. The record is from RNAcentral.